GGGCGCUCGGCCGGUGCUCCUUUUUUAAACCAGAACAACUCUGAACGUUAGAGAAGAUAAGGGAAGACCACCUGAGCGAACCGACCGAGGGGACUUGACUUAUUUUAUUCGAACCGAACGAUAGCGGCUUAAAGCUAAGCCUAUCACGAGCAGCGUCGCUGCUUGAAGGGUUCGGCGGGGAUAAGCAUCUCAAAGUAUGGGGCAAAGGAUCAAGCGCUUUUACUUUGUCUCCAGGGACACAGGUUGGGUUUGAGAGCCGUGUGAUGGGUGACUAUCCAGCACGGUUCGGAGAGCACUUUUAGUCUGCGUUGGUGAAUGGAAGCCCCUCUAUAAAGCAAGAAAGAAGCGGCUAUUCCCC
This is a non-coding RNA of Lupinus albus (white lupine), 358 nucleotides long. Lineage: Eukaryota; Viridiplantae; Streptophyta; Magnoliopsida; Fabales; Fabaceae. The record is from the annotation of a GenBank genome assembly.